UACGGAGGAUGCGAGCGUUAUCCGGAUUUAUUGGGUUUAAAGGGUGCGUAGGCGGCUUUUUAAGUCAGCUGUGAAAUUUUGCAGCUUAACUGUAACAGUGCCGUUGAUACUGGGGAGCUAGGAUUUGGUUGCUGUGGGUGGAAUGUGUGGUGUAGCGGUGAAAUGCUUAGAGAUCACACAGAAUAUCAAUUGCGAAGGCAGCUCACAAAGCCAAGAUUGACGCUGAGGCACGAAAGUGUGGGGAUCAAACAGGA
This 254-nucleotide ribosomal RNA is filed under the name uncultured prokaryote. RNAcentral describes it as "partial 16S ribosomal RNA". It matches the Rfam family "Bacterial small subunit ribosomal RNA", at positions 524 to 777 of the family's 1533-position model. The record is from RNAcentral.